This 69-nucleotide transfer RNA is filed under the name Brachidontes exustus (scorched mussel). RNAcentral describes it as "tRNA-Ile". Lineage: Eukaryota; Metazoa; Mollusca; Bivalvia; Mytilida; Mytilidae. The record is from RNAcentral.
AGUAUUGCGUGGGAAAAAGAUCCAGUUACUUUGAUGUUGUAAAGAUUGAAUGAAUAGUUCCAAUACUUU